GUAGUUGCGAAGUUUUGUGCAAAGUUUCUUCAUCAGCAGGUCCUAAGAAGUGAAGCAUAUUUGGCUGGAGAUAUGGGAACUUCUGUUCAGAGAGCAUUUUUCAGAAUGGAUGAGAUGAUGCGUGGACAAAGAGGAUGGCGGGAAUUAGCUGUUUUGGGUGAUAAAAUAAACAAGUUCACAGGCAUGAUAGAAGGGUUGAUAUGGUCUCCAAGGGGUAGUGAUAGUAAUGACCAACCUGAUAAUUGGGCUUUUGAAGAGGGCCCGCACUCUGACUUUUCUGGACCGACUUCUGGGAGCACAGCUUGUGUUGCAAUUAUUAGAAAUCACCAACUUGUUGUUGCGAAUGCUGGUGAUUCUCGAUGUGUGAUAUCUAGAAAAGGCCAGGCAUAUAAUCUGUCUAGAGAUCACAAACCUGAUCUUGAGGCUGAGAAAGACAGGAUUCUAAAAGCUGGUGGUUUCAUACAUGCAGGACGGGUCAAUGGCAGUUUGAAUCUUGCAAGAGCUAUAGGUGACAUGGAAUUCAAGCAGAAUAAAUUUUUGCCUCCAGAAAAACAAAUUGUAACAGCCAAUCCAGACAUAAACACUGUUGAGCUUUGCGAUGAUGAUGAAUUUAUUGUGCUAGCAUGUGAUGGAAU
This 635-nucleotide unclassified non-coding RNA is filed under the name Hevea brasiliensis (rubber tree). Lineage: Eukaryota; Viridiplantae; Streptophyta; Magnoliopsida; Malpighiales; Euphorbiaceae. The record is from RNAcentral.